RNAcentral lists this ribosomal RNA (460 nucleotides) under uncultured bacterium. RNAcentral's name for it is "partial 16S ribosomal RNA". It matches the Rfam family "Bacterial small subunit ribosomal RNA", at positions 338 to 795 of the family's 1533-position model. The record is from RNAcentral.
CCUACGGGAGGCAGCAGUGAGGAAUAUUGGUCAAUGGACGAGAGUCUGAACCAGCCAAGUAGCGUGAAGGAUGACUGCCCUAUGGGUUGUAAACUUCUUUUAUAUGGGAAUAAAACGUUCCACGUGUGGGAUUUUGUAUGUACCAUAUGAAUAAGGAUCGGCUAACUCCGUGCCAGCAGCCGCGGUAAUACGGAGGAUCCGAGCGUUAUCCGGAUUUAUUGGGUUUAAAGGGAGCGUAGGUGGAUUGUUAAGUCAGUUGUGAAAGUUUGCGGCUCAACCGUAAAAUUGCAGUUGAAACUGGCAGUCUUGAGUACAGUAGAGGUGGGCGGAAUUCGUGGUGUAGCGGUGAAAUGCUUAGAUAUCGCGAAGAACUCCGAUUGCGAAGGCAGUUCACUGGACUGCAACUGACACUGAGGCUCGAAAGUGUGGGUAUCAAACAGGAUUAGAUACCCGUGUAGUC